UCGAUGUGAAAAACGGCAAAGACAAGAUCCAUGUUGAUCUCAUCAUCUGCGCUGAGGGGUCCACAAGCAAUACCCUUUUGAAGACUCUUAGUGAAGAUGAUUUGAAAGAUGAGGGAGAUUUUCUAAUUUUCCAGCAGAAAUCAGAUGACUGGGAGCUACUUGAAGCCAGCUCCAUUACCCGUUUCGAUCCAUCAUCGGACUUGACACACUGUGCCGUUUUCAUCUACAGGAAUGACGUUCCUCAAGAUUUCACCGAUGGCGACUU
Strongylocentrotus purpuratus (purple sea urchin) is the source of this 265-nucleotide long non-coding RNA. RefSeq lists it as uncharacterized. The record is from RefSeq and is a predicted model, not a curated record. NCBI's taxonomy places the organism in Eukaryota, Metazoa, Echinodermata, Echinoidea, Camarodonta, Strongylocentrotidae. The transcript has 3 exons.